Trachymyrmex septentrionalis is the source of this 436-nucleotide long non-coding RNA. RefSeq lists it as uncharacterized. The record is from RefSeq and is a predicted model, not a curated record. Lineage: Eukaryota; Metazoa; Arthropoda; Insecta; Hymenoptera; Formicidae. The transcript is spliced from 2 exons.
AUGUGGAGCGCAUUUCGGGUCGUUUGGACUAGACAGUCAUAAAAAUGUUUAAACAGCAAAACUGUUGCGUUAUGCUGAACGCAAAAAAGUAGUCGACGUUACUCAUUGAAUAAGGAUAGUGUCUAUUGAGCGCUUCCUGUCCAAUGGCUCCUGUUAACUGAUAUUAUAAUCGAUGAUAUAUAUAACUGAUAAUAUAUAUAAGCAGUAUAAACUGCUGUUUUCAACAUAAACAAUGGACAAUAUUCAUGGCUGUCAAAUGAAUACUAUUCAAGUCUGUUUUUUAAGGAGAGAAGUCUGUUUUUUCAGACUUUUUUUUUAUGAGAGAUCACUUGUGUAAAAGCAUACUAUUACCAGAUCUACUAUGCUGAAACACAGUUUUGUAUUAUUUUGUAUCUGAGCCUGUUGAAACUAUUGAAUAAAGAUUUUGAUGAUUAAA